GCAUUUGUUUAAUUAUGUAAAGAUGUGUUGCAGUUUUACCUUGCCUGCCUAAGGCACCUGAUAGGUCUAAUAAAAAGCUGAACAGCCAAUAGUGAGGGAGGAGGUAUAGGCAAGACUUCCAGGCAGGAAGAGUAAAUAGGAGGAGGGAUUUAGGUAGACAUAGAAAGAAAGAAA
Non-coding RNA from Peromyscus maniculatus bairdii (prairie deer mouse), 174 nucleotides. The record is from RefSeq and is a predicted model, not a curated record. NCBI's taxonomy places the organism in Eukaryota, Metazoa, Chordata, Mammalia, Rodentia, Cricetidae.